UACGUAGGGAGCAAGCGUUAUCCGGAAUUAUUGGGUGUAAAGGGUGCGUAGACGGGAUAACAAGUUGGUUGUGUAACCCCUCGGCUCAACUGAGGAACUGCAACCAAAACUAUUAUUCUUGAGUGCAGGAGAGGAAAGUGGAAUUCCUAGUGUAGCGGUGAAAUGCGUAGAUAUUAGGAAGAACACCGGUGGCGAAGGCGACUUUCUGGACUGUAACUGACGUUGAGGCACGAAAGUGUGGGGAGCAAACAGG
RNAcentral lists this ribosomal RNA (253 nucleotides) under uncultured bacterium. RNAcentral's name for it is "partial 16S ribosomal RNA". It matches the Rfam family "Bacterial small subunit ribosomal RNA", at positions 524 to 776 of the family's 1533-position model. The record is from RNAcentral.